This 253-nucleotide ribosomal RNA is filed under the name uncultured bacterium. RNAcentral describes it as "partial 16S ribosomal RNA". It matches the Rfam family "Bacterial small subunit ribosomal RNA", at positions 524 to 776 of the family's 1533-position model. The record is from RNAcentral.
UACGUAGGGGGCUAGCGUUGUCCGGAUUUAUUGGGCGUAAAGAGCGUGUAGGCGGCCAGGUAGGUCUGCUGUGAAAACUCGAGGCUCAACCUCGAGACGUCGGCGGAAACCAUCUGGCUAGAGUCCGGAAGAGGAGAGUGGAAUUCCUGGUGUAGCGGUGAAAUGCGCAGAUAUCAGGAAGAACACCCGUGGCGAAGGCGGCUCUCUGGGACGGUACUGACGCUGAGGCGCGAAAGCGUGGGUAGCAAACAGG